Vicia faba (fava bean) is the source of this 310-nucleotide non-coding RNA. Lineage: Eukaryota; Viridiplantae; Streptophyta; Magnoliopsida; Fabales; Fabaceae. The record is from the annotation of a GenBank genome assembly.
CCAGACUGUCAACGGCUAGAUUCCAUCGCCCACAGAGUUUAUUCUAUACUUUUUCUUCCGAAACGGACGGUCCAGAUCAUCCAUGCAUGCCCCAAAAACACUAAUCCAUCAUUCACCACAACACGCAAACACUAUCCCCCAAUCCUUUUCCAUAGCUCAACGUGGAGAAGGAAACGGCGCCGUUACUCAACCCAAACGGUGGUCCCGCGGCGGUCUACGGCGCUUCCUCGUUCUUCGCUCAGUGAGUUAGACCGCACGCUUUUCAGUUUUGGUUUUGGAUUUUACCUGCAUUGUCGUCUUCUACUGUUCG